UUCAGUGAAAUCGAGUAGGGCGGGACACGUGAUAUCCUGUCUGAAUAUGGGGGGACCAUCCUCCAAGGCUAAAUACUACUGACUGACCGAUAGUGAACCAGUACCGUGAGGGAAAGGCGAAAAGAACCCCUGUGAGGGGAGUGAAAUAGAACCUGAAACCGUGUACGUACAAGCAGUAGGAGCAGGCUUUGUCCUGUGACUGCGUACCUUUUGUAUAAUGGGUCAGCGACUUAUAUUCAGUGGCAAGGUUAACCAUCUAGGGGAGCCGUAGGGAAACCGAGUCUUAACUGGGCGUUCAGUCUCUGGAUAUAGACCCGAAACCAGGUGAUCUAGCCAUGGGCAGG
RNAcentral lists this ribosomal RNA (344 nucleotides) under Vibrio parahaemolyticus. RNAcentral's name for it is "partial 23S ribosomal RNA". It matches the Rfam family "Bacterial large subunit ribosomal RNA", at positions 398 to 744 of the family's 2925-position model. The record is from RNAcentral. Lineage: Bacteria; Pseudomonadati; Pseudomonadota; Gammaproteobacteria; Vibrionales; Vibrionaceae.